This 917-nucleotide ribosomal RNA is filed under the name uncultured archaeon. Its description in RNAcentral is "bacterial SSU rRNA". It matches the Rfam family "Archaeal small subunit ribosomal RNA", at positions 36 to 934 of the family's 1478-position model. The record is from RNAcentral.
AGAUGGGACUAAGGUAUGCUAAUCGAACGACCAGAACUAUGUCUGGGAGUGGCACACUGCUCAGUAACACGUAGCUAACCUACCCUUAGGACGUGGAUACCCCCGAGAAAUUGGGGUUAAUCCGCGAUAGAUGUAAUGUCCUGGAAUGGUAUUACGUCUAAAGGUAUUUCAUACAUGUUUGAAAUAUGCCUAAGGAUGGGGCUGCGGCCGAUCAGGCUGUUGGUGAGGUAAUGGCUCACCAAACCUUUGACCGGUACGGGCCAUGAGAGUGGUAGCCCGGAGAUGGACACUGAGACAAGGGUCCAGGCCCUAAGGGGCGCAGCAACCGCGAAACCUCCACAAUGCACUCACGUGCGAUGGGGCUAUCUCGAGUGCCACCUGAUGAAGGUGGCUUUUCCUUGGUCUUCAAAGCCUUGGGAAUAAGAGGGGGGCAAGACUGGUGUCAGCCGCCGCGGUAACACCAGCCCCUCGAGUGGUGGGGAUGAUUAUUUGGCCUAAAGCGUCCGUAGCCGGCCGUGAAAGUCUUCCGUUAAAUCCAGCGUCUCAAGCGUUGGACCGCGGGAGAUACUACAUGGCUAGAGAGUGGGAGAGGUCAGCGGUAUUCUGGGGGUAGGGGCGAAAUCCUUUGAUCCCCGGAGGACCACCAGUGGCGAAGGCUGCUGACUAGAACACGUCUGACGGUCAGGGACGAAAGCUGGGGUAGCGAACCGGAUUAGAUACCCGGGUAGUCCCAGCCGUAAACGAUGCAUGCUAGGUGUUGGGUUGGCCACGAGCCACCCCAGUGCCGCAGGGAAGCCGUUAAGCAUGCCGCCUGGGGAAGUACGAUCGCAAGAUUGAAACUUAAAGGAAUUGGCGGGGGAGCACCACCAGGCGUGAAGCCUGCGGUUUAAUUGGAGUCAACGCCGGAAAUCACUAGU